ACAUCGGCGGAAGUGAGUGGAAGGCGCUCGAGUCACCUCCCGGCUGCAAGCUGGGCGGGAGCGGGCGCGGGGAUGCUCGCUGCAGCGGGACGGCCUCCGUCCAGACUGCGGCCUCAAGGACCCCGCGUGCGUCUUGAUUCCGGACCCCCGCGCUUUGAAGUAAUUUGCUUGUAUUUCAAGCGGAAAUCGUAGAAAGCAAGCUCACCCACAGGAGGACCAGUGCCUGGGAGAGGGUGCGGGACAGCGCAGGCUCGGCUGAGGUUUGGUCCUGAUGCUGUGGAGGACAUAACCCACCCAACUACAUGUUACCUGGAGAUUCUGCAAAUUAACUGCCUUCAUCACUGGACACAACCACAGACUGCAAGUUGACGGUUACCGUGCUAGCACCUGUGUUCAUUUCCCUAGGAGCUGCUAAAUGUUUAACUAAGUUUUUUCCCCUUAGAUCAUACAAGAAUCAAAGAUGAAAAUGGAUAUGCAAGUAUUAAUAUUAUUACGUUUAUUACAAUUUGGAUCAUCUUUUCUCCUAAGAAAGCUGGCUCACUUAAUUCAGUCUAAAAGCGUCACAUUAAGGACACUGGAGACUGGAAGAAAAGCACAGAUGAGAGAGCUGAGGCAUUUUCUCCAUAAAGUGCUCCUCUAGAUGAACACCGAGCUCUGCCUGGCACACUCCCCACUGUUUACGUGCACUGACGCACUUCUGAACGUUACUGCCAACUUCCUUGGAAUGGAGUGAGAUUUACUGCUGCCAUGUAACAGAGUUAUGUAUUGAGAAACACCAUUUAAGCA
Capra hircus (goat) is the source of this 786-nucleotide long non-coding RNA. RefSeq lists it as uncharacterized. The transcript has 4 exons. NCBI's taxonomy places the organism in Eukaryota, Metazoa, Chordata, Mammalia, Artiodactyla, Bovidae. The record is from RefSeq and is a predicted model, not a curated record.